RNAcentral lists this transfer RNA (76 nucleotides) under Paludibacteraceae bacterium. RNAcentral describes it as "tRNA-His". It matches the Rfam family "tRNA". Rfam says of the family: Transfer RNA (tRNA) molecules are approximately 80 nucleotides in length. The record is from RNAcentral. Lineage: Bacteria; Pseudomonadati; Bacteroidota; Bacteroidia; Bacteroidales; Paludibacteraceae. RNAcentral also lists the same sequence under 2 other names.
GUGGUCUUAGCUCAGUUGGUAGAGCAUCGGAUUGUGGUUCCGAGUGUCGUGGGUUCGAGCCCCACAUUCCACCCCA